Molecule: ribosomal RNA, 299 nt
Filed under: Escherichia coli
Lineage: Bacteria; Pseudomonadati; Pseudomonadota; Gammaproteobacteria; Enterobacterales; Enterobacteriaceae
Description: partial 16S ribosomal RNA
Rfam family: Bacterial small subunit ribosomal RNA
Source: RNAcentral
GGGGAGGAAGGGAGUAAAGUUAAUACCUUUGCUCAUUGACGUUACCCGCAGAAGAAGCACCGGCUAACUCCGUGCCAGCAGCCGCGGUAAUACGGAGGGUGCAAGCGUUAAUCGGAAUUACUGGGCGUAAAGCGCACGCAGGCGGUUUGUUAAGUCAGAUGUGAAAUCCCCGGGCUCAACCUGGGAACUGCAUCUGAUACUGGCAAGCUUGAGUCUCGUAGAGGGGGGUAGAAUUCCAGGUGUAGCGGUGAAAUGCGUAGAGAUCUGGAGGAAUACCGGUGGCGAAGGCGGCCCCCUGG